GCCCCGGUGGCACAACUGGAUAGCGCGGCUCCCUCCUAAGGAGCGGGUUGUAGGUUCGAGUCCUACCCGGGGCGCCA
Molecule: transfer RNA, 77 nt
Filed under: Gammaproteobacteria bacterium
Lineage: Bacteria; Pseudomonadati; Pseudomonadota; Gammaproteobacteria
Description: tRNA-Arg
Rfam family: tRNA
About the family: Transfer RNA (tRNA) molecules are approximately 80 nucleotides in length. Their secondary structure includes four short double-helical elements and three loops (D, anti-codon, and T loops).
Source: RNAcentral